This 500-nucleotide ribosomal RNA is filed under the name Debaryomyces hansenii. RNAcentral describes it as "eukaryotic LSU rRNA". It matches the Rfam family "Eukaryotic large subunit ribosomal RNA", at positions 73 to 577 of the family's 3401-position model. Lineage: Eukaryota; Fungi; Ascomycota; Pichiomycetes; Serinales; Debaryomycetaceae. The record is from RNAcentral.
GAUUGCCUUAGUAUCGGCGAGCUGAAGCGGCAAAAGCUCAAAUUUGAAAUCUGGCACCUUCGGUGUCCGAGUUGUAAUUUGAAGAAGGUAACUUUGGAGUUGGCUCUUGUCUAUGUUCCUUGGAACAGGACGUCACAGAGGGUGAGAAUCCCGUGCGAUGAGAUGCCCAAUUCUAUGUAAAGUGCUUUCGAAGAGUCGAGUUGUUUGGGAAUGCAGCUCUAAGUGGGUGGUAAAUUCCAUCUAAAGCUAAAUAUUGGCGAGAGACCGAUAGCGAACAAGUACAGUGAUGGAAAGAUGAAAAGAACUUUGAAAAGAGAGUGAAAAAGUACGUGAAAUUGUUGAAAGGGAAGGGCUUGAGAUCAGACUUGGUAUUUUGCGAUCCUUUCCUUCUUGGUUGGGUUCCUCGCAGCUUACUGGGCCAGCAUCGGUUUGGAUGGUAGGAUAAUGACUAAGGAAUGUGGCUCUACUUCGGUGGAGUGUUAUAGCCUUGGUUGAUACUG